UGUUAUUUUCUUUGUUAUCUUUUUAUUUAUGUGUACUCCUAAAAUGAUAUUGUCAUUGUUACAGUGGCUCUAGGACUCCUCUGGUAUGGCAUGUGGGAAUAUAAAACUGGAAAUUUGGCUUGUGGCAGGCAAGCACAGGUUAACAUACUAUCCAUUGAAUUCAUCCUUGAGAUAAAACAGAAAUGCAGCAUGAAUAUUGAAGCAUACAAGAUUUGAAGUAUAUAUUUUUGCAUGUGUCAAGGAUGAGGAAUUCUGGACAGCUUGGUUUUGGCUCUCUCUUGUUCUUUUAAUUUACCACUUCCCUUGUUAUGAUUCUUUCACUAUUUUCUCGUCCUUUGUGAUAUA
Molecule: long non-coding RNA, 345 nt
Filed under: Trifolium pratense (red clover)
Lineage: Eukaryota; Viridiplantae; Streptophyta; Magnoliopsida; Fabales; Fabaceae
Description: long non-coding RNA (TPRA_LNC011971)
Source: RNAcentral